RNAcentral lists this transfer RNA (64 nucleotides) under Dryadomorpha sp. EMHAU-2015-Zz060407. RNAcentral describes it as "tRNA-Ser". Lineage: Eukaryota; Metazoa; Arthropoda; Insecta; Hemiptera; Cicadellidae. The record is from RNAcentral.
AGUUAUUUAGCUUAUAAAAAGCGUAUACUUUGAAAGUAUAAGAAAGAAUGUAAUUUAAUAGCUU